RNAcentral lists this long non-coding RNA (205 nucleotides) under Gossypium barbadense (sea-island cotton). RNAcentral describes it as "long non-coding RNA (GBAR_LNC005574)". The record is from RNAcentral. Lineage: Eukaryota; Viridiplantae; Streptophyta; Magnoliopsida; Malvales; Malvaceae.
GAGACUAGUAUUCCCAGAAAUCCAACAAUCAUAUAGACACAAAAUUUCAUUAAUCUGAUGAAUGGGGAUUCAAUACAUCCCGACAUGAUUCACAGAUCUCAUCAAGCAUCUAGCAAUAAACUACAUCACAUUAUCUUAUUGUCUUAAAACACAUCACAAUUCAUACAACAGUGCAUCACUGAAAAUUAAGAAGUCUCUGCCCAAG